GUGUUCGCUUCGGCAGCACAUAUACUAAAAUUGGAACGAUAUAGAGAAGAUUAGCAUGGCCCCUGCACAAGGAUGACAUGCAAAUUCGUGAAGUGUUCCAUAUUUAA
RNAcentral lists this small nuclear RNA (107 nucleotides) under Meriones unguiculatus (Mongolian gerbil). The record is from RNAcentral. Lineage: Eukaryota; Metazoa; Chordata; Mammalia; Rodentia; Muridae.